This 1765-nucleotide long non-coding RNA is filed under the name Nicotiana tabacum (common tobacco). RNAcentral describes it as "long non-coding RNA (NTAB_LNC007733)". Lineage: Eukaryota; Viridiplantae; Streptophyta; Magnoliopsida; Solanales; Solanaceae. The record is from RNAcentral.
ACGAAUCGCUAGAACUGCAAUAAUAAAGAAGAUAAAUUGAGAAUCUGCAUGCCUCUCAAAUACAUAGGGAUAGUUUGUAUUUUCAAGCAUAACAUAAAGCACAUCCUAAACAUCGACAUGAGCAACUUGCAACAAUGCCCAACUUAGUAGCCAAUCUCUGUCACUCCAGCCUUACGAGAAGACUUAUAUUGUUAUUUAUAUAUCCUACUAAAUCAAAUAAACACCAACCAACUAUGAGAAUAUAUAUGUACAAGUGAAUAUAUGAAAUUAAUAAAAUCACUCGAAUAUGACCGAUUGCGGCAUUUUGGUGGUAUUUUCAUCAUACACCAGGAUGUACACUUGCUCGAUUCACACCAGAUUUCUCACUAUGGGAGAAUUUAACAGAUAGUAAUCCAUAUUUGCAUUUACCCCCUUUAAAAGGGCUAUCGAGUUCAAAUUUUUUCUUCUCUCUUAUUGAUCAUUUUUUUUCCAGUCUCAUAUAUUAGACAUGUGGUAUAAGAGCAUCCUUUUUAUCAGCAUCACUCUAUAUAAUUCAUGUUGCCUAGUCGUUUUACCGGUAGUAUUUUUCAAACAUUUGAUCCUUUUUAUACUUACUCGAGAACAAUGAAGUCCAUUUUUAUUCGUUGAAAAAUAAGGCUUCAAAAAUACUAAAUUAAAAUUAAAUCUAGAUAUAGAGUAAUAUAAGUUGUGUGUUAUUGACAUACAUUACAAACCAAAAAUAACUCUAAUAAACAGAUAAUAUAUAUAAAUAAAUAAUCUACUAAGAAGUUAAGGAAAAAAACCAAUAGAAGUGCAGUGCUUACAGGAUGAUGCAGAGGAGACGGCUACCACGACCCAGAGUAAAAACUGAAACAAAGAACAUGAAAUAAAGAUAAAUUAACAACAACAUCAGUAAUAAAAAAAAGUUGGAGAAAGGCCCAAAAUAACAUAAAUGGAUAAAACAAAGAAAGCAACAAAGAGAGAAGAAAAAAUCAUCCGCCAAAUCACACGUACCUAAAACACAAAGAGGAAAAUUGCAAAAACCAACACAUAUCUUCGAAAUCCCAUCACCAAGAAACUUAGUAAAACUUACAGGUAAAACAAACCCCAGAAUCAAAGAGAAAAGGGAGAUAUGUAAAAAGAAAAAGAAGCUAAUUUUCAGAGAGAUGGUGAAACUAAGUAGAAAUUAGAAACAUUAGCAAUGAUCGAGCAAAAUAGUUUUAGAUCAAAAUCAAAUUUUAACUUCUAAAAGGGAUUAUUACCUGGGUUCUAUUUGCUUUCUCGGUGGGGAAAAAAACAGACUUUUACCAAUUAUCAAAACCCCAAAUAUUCCCCCAAUUUUAUCCAUGAAAGCCCUAACUUUGAAAUUUCCCUAUGUUGUCUGAGUUGAAACAAAUUGGAACAAAAAAAGGAGAAACAACACAUAGAAAAUAACAAAAUUGAUAUUAAAGACUAAGAAAUUUACCUGAAAGUUCAAGAGAUUUGAGAAGAAAACUGGACAACUCACAGGCCAACAAAUGCCAAAACCAAAAAGAAUUGAAUCAGACUCAAAUCUGAACUUCAGAAAGAAACUCUUACCUGAUUUACCUGAUUUCGAUCUUGUGAUGGAUCGUUUCUCUAUGCCUUUUCUUGUGUGUGCUUAGCCAAGGAAUAUGUUUAUGUUGAAAAAGAAGAACAACAUACAUAUGGAGUAGCAGUAAAACCUACACGUAUAUCUGGGAAGAGCACCAAAGGGCACGUAUAUAGCUGUGAGAAAUGACUGAAAUAGCCUCAAGCUUGUUUCUAA